Molecule: ribosomal RNA, 327 nt
Filed under: uncultured eukaryote
Lineage: Eukaryota
Description: partial 18S ribosomal RNA
Rfam family: Eukaryotic small subunit ribosomal RNA
Source: RNAcentral
CCCUUAGAUGUCCUGGGCCGCACGCGCGCUACACUGACGAAUGCAACGAGCUUAUAACCUUGGCCGAAAGGUCUGGGUAAUCUCCAAAUUUCGUCGUGAUGGGGAUAGAUUAUUGCAAUUAUUAAUCUUCAACGAGGAAUGCCUAGUAAGCGCAAGUCAUCAGCUUGCGUUGAUUACGUCCCUGCCCUUUGUACACACCGCCCGUCGCUCCUACCGAUUGAAUGGUCCGGUGAAGCGUUCGGACCGUGGCCUUUGGACGGUUCGCCGUCUGUUGGCUGCGGGAAGUUCGUUAAACCUUAUCAUUUAGAGGAAGGAGAAGUCGUANCA